This 433-nucleotide ribosomal RNA is filed under the name uncultured bacterium. RNAcentral describes it as "partial 16S ribosomal RNA". It matches the Rfam family "Bacterial small subunit ribosomal RNA", at positions 29 to 507 of the family's 1533-position model. The record is from RNAcentral.
AAUGAACGCUGGCGGCAUGCCUAACACAUGCAAGUCGAACGAGACCGCCGGGUGUAGUGGCGCACGGGUGCGUAACGCGUGGGAACCUGCACGUAGGGUCGGAAUGACUCUUCGAAGGGGGUGCUAAUACCGGAUAAUGUCUUCUAACCCAAGAUGUAUCGUCUUUGGAGGGGCUCGCGUUGGAUGAGCUAGUUGGUAGGGUAAAAGCCGACCAAGGCGACGUUACAUAGCUGGUCUGGGAGGAUGAUCCGCCACCCUGGGGAUGAGACACGUCCCAGACUUCUGGGGGAGGGGGCAGUGGGGAAUAUUGGACACUGGGCGAGAGCAUGAUGUAGCCAUGUCGCGUGAGUGUGUAAUGCGUUAGGGUUGUAAAGCACUGUUACACGGGCUGACUAUGACAGUACCGGAAGAAUAAGCUACGGCUAACUCCGUG